RNAcentral lists this ribosomal RNA (252 nucleotides) under uncultured bacterium. RNAcentral describes it as "partial 16S ribosomal RNA". It matches the Rfam family "Bacterial small subunit ribosomal RNA", at positions 524 to 776 of the family's 1533-position model. The record is from RNAcentral.
UACGGAGGAUGCGAGCGUUAUCCGGAUUUAUUGGGUUUAAAGGGUGCGUAGGCGGGCUUUUAAGUCAGCGGUAAAAAUUCGGGGCUCAACCCCGUCCGGCCGUUGAAACUGGGGGUCUUGAGUUGGCGAGAAGAAGGCGGAAUGCGUGGUGUAGCGGUGAAAUGCAUAGAUAUCACGCAGAACCCCGAUUGCGAAGGCAGCCUUCCGGCGCCCUACUGACGCUGAGGCACGAAAGUGCGGGGAUCGAACAGG